Molecule: unclassified non-coding RNA, 250 nt
Filed under: uncultured fungus
Lineage: Eukaryota; Fungi
Description: partial contains 5.8S rRNA and ITS2
Source: RNAcentral
AACGCACAUUGCGCCCUUUGGUAUUCCAAAGGGCAUGCCUGUUCGACCGUCAUUUGUACCCUCAAGCUUUGCUUGGUGCUGGGCGUCUUGUCUCUAGCUUUGCUGGAGACUCGCAUUAAAGUAAUUGGCAGCCGGGCUACGGGUUUCGGGGCGCAGCACAAGUCGCACUCUCUAUCAGCAAAGGUCUAGCAUCCAUUAAGCCUUUUUGUGAACUAUGGACCUCGGAUCAGGUAGGGAUUCCCGCGGAACU